This 422-nucleotide ribosomal RNA is filed under the name uncultured archaeon. Its description in RNAcentral is "partial 16S ribosomal RNA". It matches the Rfam family "Archaeal small subunit ribosomal RNA", at positions 323 to 746 of the family's 1478-position model. The record is from RNAcentral.
CUACGGGGUGCACCAGUUAGGAAUAAUCUACAAUGCGCGCAAGCGUGAUAGUUUGAGCCAGAGUGCUUUUCUAUUUGAAAAGCUUUUGCUGAAUGUAAAAAGUUCGGCGAAUAAGGACUGGGUAAGACGAGUGCCAGCCGCCGCGGUAAUACUCGCGGUCCAAGUCGCAGCCAUUUUUAUUGGGUCUAAAACAUCCGUAGCUUGCUUGAUAAGUUUCCUGUGAAAUCCAGCUUCUUAAGAGUUGGGCGGGCAGGAAGUACUGUCAAGCUAGAGACUGGGAGACGUAAGAAGUACGUUUGAAGUAGCGGUAAAAUGUGUUAAUCUCAAACGGACUAACAAUAGCGAAGGCAUCUUACGAGAACAGUUCUGACAGUAAGGGAUGAAGGCCAGGGGCGCAAAACGGAUUAGAUACCCCAGUAGUC